This is a long non-coding RNA of Oxyura jamaicensis (ruddy duck), 525 nucleotides long. RefSeq lists it as uncharacterized. Lineage: Eukaryota; Metazoa; Chordata; Aves; Anseriformes; Anatidae. The record is from RefSeq and is a predicted model, not a curated record. The transcript has 3 exons.
UUUGUACAGGUCACCUUGCAGGUGGUCCUCAUUAUCUUGUAGGAUUUUGUUCCUAACCAGAUGUUGUGUGUUCCAGCUGGUGUAGGGAUCAGCUGCUGAACUUGCUCAUGUGCUGUACCUCUGGAUGGAUGUCAACAGAGCCCUGUGACAGCACACACACUGCCAUGCCCUGCAGCAGGGGAUCAGUGCUAGGUGCUUCUCAGGCACGACUCACUUCCCCCAAUCUCCUGGCUUGAACCUUAGGGGAGUGGCUGAAGGACAGGUGAAGCAGUCCUUGCCUGGAUGCAUUUGUUUCCUCCCCAGCAUCGAUGCUGGGCAGGUACCUUACUGCUGCUCCCUGAAACGCCACAUCUUGCAGAAGAGGCAGCUAAAGCUUCUUGACCUGACGGGCUCCAUCUGGCUCCAAAUUUUAGUUUGACUCCAAGGUUAUAGCAACUCCAGAGUCACUUCUAGCUAACACCAGAGGAGCUGAUUGGGUCGUAAGCCUGGAGCUGCUUGCUCAGAGCUGUGCCACCUUUGGAAGUG